AUCGACAAUGCCCAUUUACCAUGUUGGAAACAAAGGUUACAAAUUUGGUACCUCGGACAAUAUUUCUCUAAUCCCGUUAUGUUGUGUGCUGCACGGUCUUAUUACUGUAGUUGUGAGUGAUUUUUUUUUAAUGGAUUUGUAAUUUGUGCUUAUAGUGAAUAUAAAAUUUAAACUAUAAUUGGUCAGCUUAGAAAUACUUAAAAUGACAUCAGU
Cinara cedri is the source of this 213-nucleotide non-coding RNA. The record is from the annotation of a GenBank genome assembly. Lineage: Eukaryota; Metazoa; Arthropoda; Insecta; Hemiptera; Aphididae.